RNAcentral lists this ribosomal RNA (440 nucleotides) under uncultured bacterium. RNAcentral's name for it is "partial 16S ribosomal RNA". It matches the Rfam family "Bacterial small subunit ribosomal RNA", at positions 338 to 795 of the family's 1533-position model. The record is from RNAcentral.
CCUACGGGGGACAGCAGUGGGGAAUAUUGCACAAUGGGGGAAACCCUGAUGCAGCGACGCCGCGUGAGUGAAGAAGUAAUUCGUUAUGUAAAGCUCUAUCAGCAGGGAAGAAAAUGACGGUACCUGAGUAAGAAGCCCCGGCUAACUACGUGCCAGCAGCCGCGGUAAUACGUAGGGGGCAAGCGUUAUCCGGAUUUACUGGGUGGAAAGGGAGCGUAGACGGCAGUGCAAGUCUGGAGUGAAAGGCGGGGGCUCAACCCCCGGACUGCUCUGGAAACUGCACGGCUGGAGUGCAGGAGAGGUAAGUGGAAUUCCUAGUGUAGCGGUGAAAUGCGUAGAUAUUAGGAGGAACACCAGUGGCGAAGGCGGCUUACUGGACUGUAACUGACGUUGAGGCUCGAAAGCGUGGGGAGCAAACAGGAUUAGAUACCCGUGUAGUC